Molecule: ribosomal RNA, 478 nt
Filed under: uncultured bacterium
Lineage: Bacteria
Description: partial 16S ribosomal RNA
Rfam family: Bacterial small subunit ribosomal RNA
Source: RNAcentral
GACGAACGCUGGCGGCGUGCUUAACACAUGCAAGUCGAACGGUAAGGCCCUUCGGGGUACACGAGUGGCGAACGGGUGAGUAACACGUGGGUGAUCUGCCCUGCACUUCGGGAUAAGCCUGGGAAACUGGGUCUAAUACCGGAUAGGACCACUGCCUGCAUGGGUGGUGGUGGAAAGCUUUUGCGGUGUGGGAUGGGCCCGCGGCCUAUCAGCUUGUUGGUGGGGUGAUGGCCUACCAAGGCGACGACGGGUAGCCGGCCUGAGAGGGUGACCGGCCACAAUGGGACUGAGAUACGGCCCAGACUCCUACGGGAGGCAGCAGUGGGGAAUAUUGCACAAUGGGCGCAAGCCUGAUGCAGCGACGCCGCGUGAGGGAUGACGGCCUUCGGGUUGUAAACCUCUUUCAGCACCGACGAAGCACAAGUGACGGUAGGUGCAGAAGAAGGACCGGCCAACUACGUGCCAGCCGCCGCAGUAA